RNAcentral lists this ribosomal RNA (254 nucleotides) under uncultured bacterium. RNAcentral's name for it is "partial 16S ribosomal RNA". It matches the Rfam family "Bacterial small subunit ribosomal RNA", at positions 524 to 776 of the family's 1533-position model. The record is from RNAcentral.
UACGGGGGGAGCAAGCGUUGUUCGGAUUUACUGGGCGUAAAGGGCGCGUAGGCGGUCGUGACAAGUCACUUGUGAAAUCUCCGGGCUUAACUCGGAACGGUCAAGUGAUACUGUCGGACUAGAGUACAGAAGGGGCAACUGGAAUUCUCGGUGUAGAGGUGAAAUUCGUAGAUAUCGAGAGGAACACCGGUGGCGAAGGCGGCUUUCUGGACGGUGAUUGACGCUGAGACGCGAAAGCGUGGGGAGCAAACAGG